UUGUGGAAGGGCAUGGAAACUUUAUCCUCCGUAUACUUAAAAUGUGGGGUUUCAUGGCCCAAAAACUUUCCAACUAACGCUAAACAAAGUCAGAAAAGCGGGUCAGGUUCAGACUCUGGGCGCCAACACGCACAGGGAAAGCCACCUCUCUACUUCGCCAUAAAAACCCGCGAAACAUCCAAGCAGGCAACACUCUCACCCGCGCCUACCCUAUAUACUUAUCACUUUUUCAAUUCCUUUUCUUAGGGUUCGUUGCAAACGCCGCAUUCCGCUCCUCAGCUUCACAGCGCCAUGGAGGAUGUUAGGGCUACCUCCGCCUGGGUCGCCAGCCGCUCCUCCCACGUCCUCGUCGACUCCGCAGGGAUUGAGAAAGUGGUGAGCACCAUUGAGUCCAUUCCCAAGGUUGAGUGGGAUUUCGAAGGGAUUCACUACUUCGAUAAUGGACCACUCACCGUCCAGUACUUGUUUGUUCUAGACGCUUUAAAUUUUUGCUUCUGGCCUGAUGAGGAUUUGAAUUAUGACGAUUUGGCAUCUGGGUUAAAGGCAGCUCUUCAAAAUGAUAAAUCUGCCUUCGAUGCUGAUCGCCUGCAAAAGUACACCGGUCCACAAUUGCGCGAGCUUUUGAGGUGGCCUAGACCCCUUCCUUUGGAAGAUGAACGAGUUAGGUUACUUCAUGAGGUUGGGAUUGAAUUGGAAAGGAACUUUGAAGGUAAAGCAUCUAAUCUUGUGCAGUGCUGUGGAAAAUCAGCUGUGAAUCUUGUCGCUCUAGUUGCACGCCAUUUUCCUGGUUUUAGAGACCAUACAGUGUACAAGGGACGCCAGGUAUUUUUAUACAAAAGGGCUCAGAUAUUUGCAGCAGAUUUGUGGGGUGCAUUUGGGGGACAAGGAUAUGGUGAGUUUAAAGACAUCGGCUCUCUAACUAUAAUGGCGGACUAUAUUGUCCCAGCUGUGCUUCGGCAGCUUGGUGUUUUAAAAUAUAGUCCAGCCCUGACCAGUACUAUCGAGUCCAGUGGAGAAAUAGGUCCAGGGACUGAGGAGGAAGUUGAACUGCGGGCUUGCUCUGUACAUGCGGUGGAGAAAAUGCGUGAGCUGAUAAGUAAAAAGUCAGGAAGACAGGUUCUCAGUGUGGAGCUGGAUCUUUGGCUCUGGGCUGCUGGUGUUCAGUGCACAUCUCUGCAACACCACCGAACACUUUCAAUAUAUUACUGAGCACAUCAUAUAUGGAAUUCACCAGAAAGAGAUCAACCUGCUUGAUGCUAUAGAGUAUGAAGGAGAGUCCGUUCUGUUCCCCGAGGCUUCUCCCCAUCCAUAAAAGGAAUCACUACCUUUAGACCGUACCCAGCGUUUCUCUAAGCGGAAAUCAGGUGUAAAUGCAAAAGGUGAUGGUUUUUUACAACUACUAGCAGUGGCGGGUGGCAGCAACUUUGUUUCAUCUUUUUUACCUCCCCUGUUCUUUAGUGGGUAGAACCACUCACCAUCCUAGUAAGUUUUAAACUUUCAUUCACAUUUUUCUUUUUCUGUUUUAUUUUACUUGGUUAAAUGAACAGUCUGAUUUCGCUUCUACCCAUGCAUAAUACUUUUGCUUAGGUAAUUUUAGGUAAAGUCUAUGCCACUCGUGAGGGAAUAAUAUCUGUAUUGCAUAUCGAUCAUCCGAUUAAUCCCACGAAAUUUACUCCAUCCGUGUCCGUAAGAAUCACAUUCACAUCUAUUAUAUAUACACACAUUUAUAUACCUAUAUCAGACUCAGAAGCAGAAUGAAUAUCUCUGUACACCUAAUAAAAAAUAGUUCUAUCUAAACAGUGAGAAUUAUAUAAACACGAAGUAGUACUGUGAAACUUUGAAAAUCUGGUUUUGUUUAAAAACGUCGGAUAGAAUAGUCCAAUUAAACAGAAUUUGUGUACUCGAGAAUUGAGAUGCCGAUUGAUUUGAAGAGGAAGGACAACCAAGCAAGUUACUUUAGAUUAAGAGACAUGGGGACCUAGCCAUCAACAUCAUGAUUUGUUGGUGGAAUCGGACUCAAGCUAAUCCAAAUGUAUGUUGGUAAUACAGGGGCCCACAUAUCGGAAUCUUUAGGAUAUUGCCUACAUUUUUACCAUGAUUUUAGCUCUUUGUUUCUAUUGUGGAGAUUAAUAUAUUACGCCUCUUUUUUUUUUUCUUCUUUCUUUUCUAUAAUUGAUGAUGGUCCUCAAUUCUGUACAUUGUUUAUUAUUUAACAUCUUACCUUCCAAUAUAAGUUAACUCAGCACCA
Molecule: RNA transcript, 2248 nt
Organism: Vigna angularis (adzuki bean)
Lineage: Eukaryota; Viridiplantae; Streptophyta; Magnoliopsida; Fabales; Fabaceae
Exons: 9
Source: RefSeq, a predicted model, not a curated record